RNAcentral lists this transfer RNA (90 nucleotides) under Pseudomonadota bacterium. Its description in RNAcentral is "tRNA-Ser". It matches the Rfam family "tRNA". Rfam says of the family: Transfer RNA (tRNA) molecules are approximately 80 nucleotides in length. RNAcentral also lists the same sequence under 1 other name. Lineage: Bacteria; Pseudomonadati; Pseudomonadota. The record is from RNAcentral.
GGAGAGGUGUCCGAGUGGCCGAAGGAGCACGACUGGAAAUCGUGUGUGCGGUGAAAAGCCGCACCGUGGGUUCGAAUCCCACCCUCUCCG